AAAGGUACCAUAAGCGAAUAAUAAAAAAAGAAAGAAGGGAUGACACCCAUUAUCACGUUUGAAUCAGAAAGGGGGGAGGGCCAAAUCCCUAACCACCAAAUCUCAUACCCAAAGGCUGCACGAAGAAGGCCCCUCGGUGGCUUCAAUCACGCCGGCGAAGGUGUACCAUGUAUUUUUGAAAGACGUUCGUGGUGGUCCUUGAGGAUGAGGGAAACCUAUCCCUUUUCGGUGUUGGGAUGAAGGCUCGAUUUGUCGAUUUCUACUCCCUUUUCUAUCAAGGGAAAGAUUCACACUCGAGAGCAAGGGGACUCUGGGUUUUAUGGGUCAACGUGGACCAUGUGAGUAUGAAGAAUGUGGAAUGUGGGAUGUGAAUAGGAUAAACCCCUGCCUUAUAGCUUUUGUGACCUAUUACUGACUAUUAAAUUUAUUCUGUUGUAUUAGUUGUGUUCGGUUUUGUGUUUACCUUGAUCAAAAAGUCGAUGUUCUGUACUAUUUGGUUGUGUAUUUGUUAUGCUUUACCCAUUAGUGAUAGGUUGGUAGAAAUAAAGUCAAGAUUUCUCUUAUUAGAAUUAUCAUAACCAUUUCAAGUAUAUUCUUUUUUUUGUGUUUGCAUAUGGUGUGUUGGUCACUUUUCAAUUAAAGUUCUGGGUUUAUAAACACAUAAU
RNAcentral lists this long non-coding RNA (665 nucleotides) under Lupinus angustifolius (narrow-leaved blue lupine). Its description in RNAcentral is "long non-coding RNA (LANG_LNC001272)". Lineage: Eukaryota; Viridiplantae; Streptophyta; Magnoliopsida; Fabales; Fabaceae. The record is from RNAcentral.